RNAcentral lists this long non-coding RNA (1799 nucleotides) under Homo sapiens (human). RNAcentral describes it as "non-protein coding lnc-CHD9-4:11". Lineage: Eukaryota; Metazoa; Chordata; Mammalia; Primates; Hominidae. The record is from RNAcentral.
GCUCCUCGGCCCGGACCGCCUCCGGGAGCGCCCACCCCGCCCCGCCGGCCCCAUCACCCCCGCCGCGGCCGCCCCCUCUCCGGGGCCCCUCUUCUCCCUACCUCGCCCCCCUUCCCGCUCCGGUCCUCUUUGUCCCCACUGCCUCGGAGCGCUCCUCUCUCCCCUCCUUUCCUCGGCCGAAGCGGACGCCAGCCCUGCGUCCCGUGUGUCCCACCCUCCUCCUGCGCGACCACAGCUUCCCCGGGCCCCAGCAUCCCCAAGCCGUCUGCUCCCUUCCUGUCGCUUUCCUCCCCAUGACCCCCUUCCUUCUUCAUGGGUGCCUGUCCCCGGGCCCCUCUCCUCGACCCCGCCUUGCCUUUCGAAUGUCCCCUGCGUGGACACACCUAACCCAGACGCCAACCUGCACGAGUGUCUCCCGGUAGCCGGGAGCCGGGACCCCAAGUUCACCUGUAGGAUUUCCCAGAAGGGGUGUUGGGGCCUGACCUUUCACAGAGAAAGAUCUCAAGCUUCUCAGUCAAUGUCUUGGUAUCUCUACUCUGGUGUUCUUAAGGAAAAUGCUAUGGGCUCCUUUGGACAUCUGGUAAAGUCUAUGAACCCUAUAUCAAAAUAAUGCUUGUAAAUUCUUACAAUAAAAUACCUAGUAUUACAAAGUAAAGAAUAUGUUGAAAUACAGUUCCAUCCACCAUCCUUUUGCCACUACAGUUUGUGAUUGUUGUAUUUAUUUUCAUGGUUACUUUCUACUUAUGGAAAGUGCAAUUGGUUUCUGUUUAUAGUCAUGACAUACAAUUUGCAUUUUAAAUACAUUUGUUUAAAUUAAAGAGGGAAGAUGAAUUAAGGAAAUAAGUAAAAGUAGGAAAUAUGACAAAGCUAAAAGUGGUGUGCUGUGAUUGAGUGACGAAUGCAGACUUAACCCAAGAGAUGACUUUAUUAAUGGGAAUUUCAGGCACCCUUUCACAUUGGGGACUGUACUAAACCAGGCUUGACACAAGCCUCACUUGUCCAUCAGUCAAUGUCCAUUGAUUGAGCAGCCCCACCAAGUACCAGACACUGUUCCAGGUGUGAGGGCAGGGCAUUGAGCAAGGCAAUUUAUUCUCAAGGUGUUUACAUUGUAGGGAAAGGAUAUAGACAAGAGGCAGGCCAAAACAUUCAAUUAAAAGGUAACUUCAGAUACUGAUUUUUGUCCUGAAGGGCAAAAGGGUGACUAGCAGGGUGACUAGAGAGGGAGUGACUUGGGGUAGGUGUAGGACAGUAGCAGUGGGGUUUGUGGCUUGGCCCAGGGCUGCAUUAGAAAAAGACCAGGCUCCCACUGCAGCAGUGCCCGGAAAAAUGCAGAGACGAGCCAGGAUUUCUGGAUCAUUACCAUGAGGAAGGGAAUAAAUGUGUGUUCUCUUUCAGUUGCUCCUCUUGACACCUGGGUAAAUGGCUGUUUACACAGGCAGAUCACCCAGCCGCUCCCUCAAAGGUAAACAGCUGCUUUCUGCCUCCCCUGCUAGCACAGAUUGGGGCCCUGAAACAGUGUGUACCCAGGCAAAAGAGGAGGUAUUCUCCAUUUAGGUUUCCAUUCAUUCAUUCAGGCAAGAUUUCUUGAGUGCCUCCUAAAAUGCAGGCACCAAGGUAGGUACUGGGAACACAGUAAGGAACAAUAAAGAGGUCCCUCCUCCCCCACCUCUCUCUCCUCUCCACUUAGAAUCCAAGCUAGAGGUGUGCCUCAGAGUCUCAGGCCACUCCUCUCAUGAUACAGAUGGAAAUAUCAGAAUCAGAAGAGGCAAAGUGACUUGCCCAAGACCCGGAGCUAGCCC